This 318-nucleotide unclassified non-coding RNA is filed under the name fungal sp. RNAcentral describes it as "partial internal transcribed spacer region". The stretch from base 1 to 46 matches the Rfam family "Eukaryotic small subunit ribosomal RNA", at positions 1786 to 1831 of the family's 1831-position model. The record is from RNAcentral. Lineage: Eukaryota; Fungi.
AAGUCGUAACAAGGUUUCCGUAGGUGAACCUGCGGAAGGAUCAUCAAUGAAAUUUUUCUUCAUUUCAAUAUUAACAAGGGAAUGUCUUCUUUCUUUUAGGAAGCUUUCUCCAGUCUAUAAACUCUUUUUUGGGAAGUUGGAGUGUCUCUUUUGUUGAGAGCCUCCAAAUAUUCAAAACAAUUAACCAUAAGUUUUCCCCUUUCCUUCUUCUUUUUUAAGGCAGAAAGAGAGAAAAACUUUUCUUUUUUAUUUUUCAAUAAGUUAUUGAUUUUUUUACAAUCAAAAAUACAACUUUUAGCAAUGGAUCUCUAGGCUCUC